RNAcentral lists this transfer RNA (65 nucleotides) under Eremiaphila sp. RNAcentral describes it as "tRNA-Gly". The record is from RNAcentral. Lineage: Eukaryota; Metazoa; Arthropoda; Insecta; Mantodea; Eremiaphilidae.
AUUCAUUUAAUAUAAACAAAGUAUGUUUGAUUUCCAAUCAAAAAGUCUUAAUUUAAGAAUGAAUA